Daphnia pulicaria is the source of this 1172-nucleotide long non-coding RNA. RefSeq lists it as uncharacterized. NCBI's taxonomy places the organism in Eukaryota, Metazoa, Arthropoda, Branchiopoda, Diplostraca, Daphniidae. The record is from RefSeq and is a predicted model, not a curated record. The transcript has 4 exons.
UGAUGCGUUUCAAGAGUCGCCGGUGGAAUAGAUCACGCGGUAACGAGUCACGACGGGAACUAAUUGCGCGCCCAGCGCGUCAUUUGUACAUAGUGCGUGUGCACACUUGUUAAUUUCUAAAAAUAAAUAAACGCUAGAAGAUUUUCCGAGCUGUUCUCCGCGUAUCAAGUUAUUAAGGAACAUAUUAUAAUUCACCGAAAAUCUCUUUCGCCCAUAAUGUACACGCGAGUCCAUUGAAAUGACGUGCAGUGUAACACCACGUAGACUAGAUAAUUCAUCACGGUAGUAAGCGAUAUAUUUAUAUAUACCAUCAGAAAUCUCAGGAUAUUACUAUUUUGUGGUCAGCUGCCACACAUUUUUAACGGUUUAAAUCCCUGACGGUUUUUGACAGUUCUCUAAGGAAAUAUGGAAAAAGAGAGAGAGCCUAUUUUAACAGGUAUUAUGCAAUCAUUCGUUAUAAAUUUAUUCUCCUCAAAUCGCUUCUUUCUUUUCUGAUUUAAUCCCAACUGGAUAUUUCCAGUUCACAAGGCCCAGUUACCCCAGUAUGACAGACUCCGCGUGUGUGUGUCCAAUCGAUUUGUCAUGAGAGCUUCGUAAAAUGGGCAACACCGCCAACGCCCCAACCCCAACGAGCCAACGGCCUUCCUGCUUUCUCAGUUCAUCGUCUGCUUCCUGUUGUAGUGCAAGCAAAAGCCAAAAGUUAUUAGCGUUAUUAGUAGUUAUUUGAGAGCAUUCUGGGAAGUACGCAAAAACGCAAAAGUUUGCAUUGUUUCUCUUGCCUAACCUGUUUUACUCACGGCCACGGGUCUCAUCCCGUUACCCCCGGUGGUUCAAACAAAGUUCAAAGGAAUGUUUGAAGCAGCUGAUGUGUUCAGAACUCCAGAUCACGUUGACAUGUUGAUGCACAGUGAGACAUGAAUUGGUUCCCCCGCUUUAGAUUUUGUAAUCCUCCUUACUAAAAAGAAUUAAGUGCUUCACGAAGAUUUCAUUAGCUUUGCUUUUAUUAAAAAUCACCUUUUCAGCACACAAGCCAUUCGGUGAACUCUAGUCAGUUGGUUUGCCCCUCAAAUAGGCUGGAAAUCAAUCACAUCGUGGUUUUGCAUUUAUAGGUUUCAUCACAAAACGAGAUGCGAAAAGAGCAUUUGAAAGUUUAUCAGUAAGUACACAUUUGU